RNAcentral lists this ribosomal RNA (476 nucleotides) under uncultured bacterium. Its description in RNAcentral is "SSU rRNA". It matches the Rfam family "Bacterial small subunit ribosomal RNA", at positions 26 to 518 of the family's 1533-position model. The record is from RNAcentral.
AGGACGAACGCUGGCGGCGUGCUUAACACAUGCAAGUCGAGCGGAAAGGCCCUUCGGGGUACUCGAGCGGCGAACGGGUGAGUAACACGUGAGUAACCUGCCCUGGACUUUGGGAUAACCCUCGGAAACGGGGGCUAAUACCGGAUAUGACGACUCACCGCAUGGUGUGGUUGUGGAAAGUUUUUCGGUUGGGAUGGGCUCGCGGACUAUCAGCUUGUUGGUGGGGUGAUGGCCUACCAAGGCGACGACGGUUAGCCGGCCUGAGAGGGCGACCGGCCACGACUGGGACUGAGACACGGCCCAGACUCCUACGGGAGGCAGCAGUGGGGAAUAUUGCACAAUGGGCGGAAGCCUGAUGCAGCGACGCCGCGUGAGGGAUGACGGCCUUCGGGUUGUAAACCGUCUUUCAGCAGGGACGAAGCGAAAGUGACGGUACCUGCAGAAGAAGCACCGGCCAACUACGUGCCAGCAGCCGC